UUCAGAGGAACCUGUCCUAUAAUUGAUGAUCCACGAUUUUAUUUACUUAUUUUAUUAGUUUGCAUAUCGCCGUAGGUUGAAUAUUUUAAUAGAAAAAUCAUAUUCAAAAUUUUUUAAUAAAAAAUAAAUCAGGUCAAGAUGUAGUUUAUAAAUAAGAAGAGAUGGGUUACAAUAAAUUUUAUUUAAACGAAUAGUUGAUUGAAAAAUCAAUUUGAAGGUGGAUUUGAUAGUAAUUUUAAUUAAAUUAUUAGAAUGAUUUUAGCUCUAAAAUGUGUACAUAUCGCCCGUCAUUUUCAUUAUAAAAUGAAACAAGUCGUAACAUAGUAGGUGUACUGGAAAGUGUACCUAGAAUGACAAACUAGAGCUUGUUAAAAAGCAUUUUAUUUACACUAAAAAGUUUAUUGUGAAAAUCAAUAUAGUUUGAAUUUUUAUAAUUAUUAAAAAUGUAAUUUUUAGUCUAUUUAAAUAAAAUAAUUUAUAUUUUUAUUAAUAUAAUUGAAAAAAUUUUUUUUAUUAUAGUUAAUUAGUAUUGUGAAAGAAAUUAUUUAAGUUUUAUAAAGAAUAAUUAAUUUUUAGUACCUUGUGUAUCAGGGUUUAUUAAAUAAUAUUUAAAUAUUUAAUUUUCUCGAAUUUAAAAGAGUUAUAAGAGUAGAAUUUUUAUUGUUAAAUAAAUAUUAUAAAUAUUCUUAUAGAAAUGAAAUGUUAUUCGUUUUUAAAUAUAUCUAGUUUUUUAAGAAAUAAAUUUAAUUUACUUAAUAUAAAUAUUUUUUUUAUUUUUUAAUUUAAUAUUAAUAUUAUGAAAUAUUUUAAGGGAUGAGCUUUAAAGUAAAGUUUUAUAAAUAUAAAAUUUAUUUGAAUAAAUAGGAUUAAAAUUUUUCAAUUUUAGUAAUAUGUUAUAAUUAUUUCAAAUUUAAAUAAAAUUUAUCUAUAUUUUAAAUUUUUUAUUAAAAUAUUAAUUUAAAUUUUUAAAAUUAAGUAAUAAUGAUAAAAUUAGUAUAAGAUUUUGUAUAGUAAUUUAUUUUAGGUAAAAACAUGGCCUUUUGAUUAUAAUUUUAGGUCUAACCUGCCCAAUGAUAAAUUGAAUGGCCGCGGUAUUUUGACCGUGCAAAGGUAGCAUAAUCAUUUGUUUUUUAAUUGAAAGCUGGAAUGAAGGGUUGAAUGAGAAAAUAACUGUCUCAAUUUAAAUUUAUUAAAACUUUAUUUUUAAGUUAAAAAGCUUAAAUGAAUUUUGAAGACGAGAAGACCCUAUAGAGUUUAAUAUUUAUUUAGUUUAGAUAUUUUGGUAAUAAUUUUUUUAAAUUAUAUAUUUAUUUGAUUGGGGUGAUAAAAAAAAUAAAUAAACUUUUUUUUUAUUUAAUCAUUGAUUAAUGAAUUAUUGAUCCUUUAUAAAGAUUAAAAGAAUAAAUUACCUUAGGGAUAACAGCGUAAUUUUUUUUUAGAGUUCUAAUCGAAAAAAAAGGUUGCGACCUCGAUGUUGGAUUAAAAUUAAUUUUUGGUGUAGAAGCUAAAUUUAUUGGGUCUGUUCGACCCUUAAAAUUUUACUUGAUCUGAG
This 1552-nucleotide ribosomal RNA is filed under the name Oxystoma cerdo. RNAcentral's name for it is "partial 16S ribosomal RNA". The record is from RNAcentral. Lineage: Eukaryota; Metazoa; Arthropoda; Insecta; Coleoptera; Brentidae.